UAGGGAAUAUUGCAAAAUGGGCGAAAGCCCGAUGCAGCAACGCCGCGUGGGCGAUGAAGGCCUUCGGGUCGUAAAGCCCUUUUGAGGGGAUGAGGAAGGACAGUACCCUCAGAAUAAGCCUCGGCUAACUACGUGCCAGCAGCCGCGGUAAAACGUAGGAGGCGAGCGUUAUCCGGAUUUACUGGGCGUAAAGCGCGUGCAGGCGGAUUGGAGAGUUGGAUGUGAAAGCUCCCGGCUUAACUGGGAGAGGUCGUUCAGUACUUCCAGUCUUGAGUGCAGUAGAGGGAAGUGGAAUUCCGGGUGUAGUGGUGAAAUGCGUAGAUAUCCGGAGGAACACCAGUGGCGAAAGCGGCUUCCUGGACUGUAACUGACGCUCAGACGCGAAAGCUAGGGUAGCAAACG
This 402-nucleotide ribosomal RNA is filed under the name uncultured bacterium. RNAcentral describes it as "bacterial SSU rRNA". It matches the Rfam family "Bacterial small subunit ribosomal RNA", at positions 355 to 774 of the family's 1533-position model. The record is from RNAcentral.